This 23-nucleotide ribosomal RNA is filed under the name Teucrium intricatum. RNAcentral describes it as "partial 28S ribosomal RNA". Lineage: Eukaryota; Viridiplantae; Streptophyta; Magnoliopsida; Lamiales; Lamiaceae. The record is from RNAcentral.
AGGUCAGGCGGGACUACCCGCUG